Non-coding RNA from Acanthosepion pharaonis, 92 nucleotides. NCBI's taxonomy places the organism in Eukaryota, Metazoa, Mollusca, Cephalopoda, Sepiida, Sepiidae. The record is from the annotation of a GenBank genome assembly.
UUACGGCCAUAUCAUGUUGAAACAACAGUUCUCAUACGAUCACUGAAGUUAAGCAACAUAGAACCUGGUCAGUACCUAGAUGGGUGACCGCU